This 1983-nucleotide long non-coding RNA is filed under the name Pan troglodytes (chimpanzee). RNAcentral's name for it is "lncRNA (ENSPTRG00000053544.1)". The record is from RNAcentral. Lineage: Eukaryota; Metazoa; Chordata; Mammalia; Primates; Hominidae.
AUGAGCAGCUUCUACAUUGGCCUGUGUUCCCGCCUCCACUGCAACAUCUUCUCCUACGACUACUCCGGCUACGGUGCCAGCUCGGGCAGGCCCUCCGAGACGAACCUCUACGCCGACAUCGACGCCGCCCGGCAGGCCCUGCGCACCAGGUACCGCAUCAGCCCGGACAGCAUCAUCCUGUACCGGCAGAGCAUCGGCACGGUGCCCACCGUGGACCUGGCCUCGCGCUACAAGUCCGCCGCGGUGGUGCUGCACUCGCCGCUCACCUUGGACCUGAGCGUCGCCUUCCCGACACCAAGAAGACCUACUGCUUCGACGCCUUCCCCAAGUGAGCAGGCUGGGGCGGGGACAGGGGCGGGGACGGGGACUGGGUCGGGGACGGGGGCGGGGCGGGGCGCGGCGGGGCCCGGGCCCGGUGAGGUCUCACCCGCCCCACGCCCCUCCCGCAGAAUCCAGAAGGUGUCCAAGAUCACGUCGCCCGUGCUCAUCAUCCACGGCACGAAAGACGAGGUGAUCGACUUCUCGCAGGGGCUGGCGCUCUAGGAGCGCUGCCCCAAGGCCGUGGAGCCGCUGUGGGUGGAGGGCGCCGGGCACAAAGACAUCCAGCUCUACAGCCAGUACCUGGAGCGCCUGCGCCGCUUCAUCUCCCAGGAGCUGCCCAGCCAGAGCGCCUAGCGGCCGCCGGGGCCCCAACCGGCCGGACCUCAGCAAUAAGGCGGCCCCCGGACCUCACCCCGCACUGGCCUCCCGGGGGCUGCAUGUGGACCCCCGGGUGGCCCGGGGGACCCCGCCCGGAUCCAGGGGCCGUGGACGGUGUACAGGCAACAGAGCUACCCACUCCUUUCCUUUUGGAAGCAAGAAGAAAUAUGUGAAAACGGAAAUUAAAGAUUAAAAAUUUUUUUAAAAAAAACGUUUAUUAAUAUACUCCAAAGUUGUGGGGUUUUUUUGUUUGUUUGUUUGUUUGUUUUUUUGAAAUGGAGUCUCACUCUGUCGCCCAGGCUGGAGUGCAGUGGCGCGAUCUCAGCUCACUGCAACCUCCACCUCCCAGGUUCAAGCGAUUCUCCUGCCUCAGCCUCCCGAGUAGCUGGGACUACAGGCGCGUGCCACCAUGCCCAGCUAAUUUUUUGUAUUUUUAGUAGUUACGGGGUUUCACCGUGUUAGCCAGGAUGGUCUCCAUCUCCCGACCUCGUGAUCCGCCCUCUUGGCCUCCCAAAGUGCUAGGAUUACAGGCGUGAGCCACCGUGCCCAGCCGUUUUGCACAGAUUUUUUAAUGCAGAAUCAUGUUGGCAAUGGGUAAUGGCUACCAAGGUGCCAUCGUUCCACAUUCCUGUUAUUCAGUCAUCACAUCUACUAUGUGUGAGCCAUAAUAUCUUCUAAAAUGAAUUAUAACUAUGUUCGAAUUGUUAUUUCACUAAGUAAUCUCUGCUAGUUUAGUCUCUAUUUCAUCUCAACGGAAUGCCUUCUGAGUUCCUAUAAUUGUGACUAAUUCUCUGAGACAACAUCAGCAGUAUCACUAUAAACUAUGAAACCUACAAAGGGAAUUUCCUCUUUUUCCUUUUUAUUAUAGAGAUGCUUUUUUGUUUGUUUUCUGCAAGCAAGCACAGUCUUAAUCAAUUUUGUAUGCCCAUACCUAGGAGAGCCCCUGAUUCAUAAUAAGACCUCAAUAAGAUUUGUUGAAUAAAGUGAAAAUAGGAUUUUCAGCUUUCCCUCACCACUUUCUUCAAAACAGACUAGUUCAUAACUGAAAUAGGCAUUGUUUCUAGAAAACGGUCACUCCAGCUGAUCCCCUCGUUUAAUCAUUUUUGUACUCCCUGAAUCUAUGAUGAUACCUGCACAUAGUGGGUAAGUAAUCAAUAUUUGUUCACUGAACUAAUGGAAGGAUGAGUGAAUGAAACAAUACAGGCAUUUUAAAAUUAUAAUUCAAAAUUAACAUAUUACUUGUUAUUAGAGUGAUUUUAAACAGUUAUGUUAAGUAUAUGAUAA